Molecule: ribosomal RNA, 254 nt
Filed under: uncultured bacterium
Lineage: Bacteria
Description: partial 16S ribosomal RNA
Rfam family: Bacterial small subunit ribosomal RNA
Source: RNAcentral
UACGGAGGGUGCGAGCGUUGUCCGGAAUCAUUGGGCGUAAAGGGCGCGUAGGUGGCCCGGUCAGUUCGUGGUGAAAGCGCGGGGCUCAACCCUGCGUCGGCCAUGAAUACUGCCGCGGCUGGAGCACUGUAGAGGCAGGCGGAAUUCCGGGUGUAGCGGUGGAAUGCGUAGAGAUCGGGAAGAACAUCGGUGGCGAAGGCGGCCAGCUGGGCCAUUGCUGACGCUGAGGCGCGACAGCGUGGGGAGCAAACAGG